GAGGGUAUAGCUCAGUGGUAGAGUAUGUGCUUAGCAUGCACGAGGUCCUGGGUUCAACUCCCAGUACUUCUA
Molecule: transfer RNA, 72 nt
Filed under: Camelus ferus (Wild Bactrian camel)
Lineage: Eukaryota; Metazoa; Chordata; Mammalia; Artiodactyla; Camelidae
Rfam family: tRNA
About the family: Transfer RNA (tRNA) molecules are approximately 80 nucleotides in length. Their secondary structure includes four short double-helical elements and three loops (D, anti-codon, and T loops).
Source: Rfam by way of RNAcentral